RNAcentral lists this ribosomal RNA (301 nucleotides) under uncultured bacterium. RNAcentral's name for it is "partial 16S ribosomal RNA". It matches the Rfam family "Bacterial small subunit ribosomal RNA", at positions 509 to 809 of the family's 1533-position model. The record is from RNAcentral.
CAGUAGCCGCGGGAAAACGGAGGGGGCUAGCGUUGUUCGGAAUUACUGGGCGUAAAGCGCACGUAGGCGGUUCGUUAGGUCUGUUGUGAAAGCCCCGGGCUCAACCUGGGAAUGGCAAUGGAUACUGGCGAGCUAGAGUGUGUCAGAGGAUGGUGGAAUUCCCGGUGUAGCGGUGAAAUGCGUAGAGAUCGGGAGGAACAUCAGUGGCGAAGGCGGCCAUCUGUGACAACACUGACGCUGAGGCACGAAAGCGUGGGGAGCAAACAGGAUUAGAUACCCGCGUAGUCCCUGUCUCUUAUAA